CUACGGGCGGCUCCAGUGGGGAAUAUUGCACAAUGGGCGCAAGCCUGAUGCAGCCAUGCCGCGUGUAUGAAGAAGGCCUUCGGGUUGUAAAGUACUUUCAGCGGGGAGGAAGGGAGUAAAGUUAAUACCUUUGCUCAUUGACGUUACCCGCAGAAGAAGCACCGGCUAACUCCGUGCCAGCAGCCGCGGUAAUACGGAGGGUGCAAGCGUUAAUCGGAAUUACUGGGCGUAAAGCGCACGCAGGCGGUUUGUUAAGUCAGAUGUGAAAUCCCCGGGCUCAACCUGGGAACUGCAUCUGAUACUGGCAAGCUUGAGUCUAGUAGAGGGGGGUGGAAUUCCAGGUGUAGCGGUGAAAUGCGUAGAGAUCUGGAGGAAUACCGGUGGCGAAGGCGGCCCCCUGGACGAAGACUGACGCUCAGGUGCGAAAGCGUGGGGAGCAAACAGGAUUAGAUACCCUCGUAGUC
RNAcentral lists this ribosomal RNA (464 nucleotides) under uncultured bacterium. Its description in RNAcentral is "partial 16S ribosomal RNA". It matches the Rfam family "Bacterial small subunit ribosomal RNA", at positions 339 to 795 of the family's 1533-position model. The record is from RNAcentral.